This 212-nucleotide unclassified non-coding RNA is filed under the name fungal sp. RNAcentral's name for it is "partial internal transcribed spacer region". The stretch from base 1 to 46 matches the Rfam family "Eukaryotic small subunit ribosomal RNA", at positions 1786 to 1831 of the family's 1831-position model. Lineage: Eukaryota; Fungi. The record is from RNAcentral.
AAGUCGUAACAAGGUAACCGUAGGUGAACCUGCGGUUGGAUCAUUAACAAUGGUUUUCAAACCUUUAUUCUGUGCACUGUAUUGUUCUUGGUGUUGUCCGCCUCUCUCUUUGGAGAGGAGCGGAGGCACCGACAUUUUUAAACCAUGUAUUGUAUCGAGUCUUGAAUUUGUAUUAAAAUGAAAAACUUUUGACAACGGAUCUCUUGGCUCUC